This 408-nucleotide ribosomal RNA is filed under the name uncultured bacterium. Its description in RNAcentral is "bacterial SSU rRNA". It matches the Rfam family "Bacterial small subunit ribosomal RNA", at positions 350 to 750 of the family's 1533-position model. The record is from RNAcentral.
AGCAGUGGGGAAUAUUGGACAAUGGGCGAAAGCCUGAUCCAGCCAUGCCGCGUGUGUGAAGAAGGUCUUCGGAUUGUAAAGCACUUUAAGUUGGGAGGAAGGGCAUUAACCUAAUACGUUAGUGUUUUGACGUUACCGACAGAAUAAGCACCGGCUAACUCUGUGCCAGCAGCCGCGGUAAUACAGAGGGUGCAAGCGUUAAUCGGAAUUACUGGGCGCAAAGCGCGCGUAGGUGGUUUGUUAAGUUGGAUGUGAAAUCCCCGGGCUCAACCUGGGAACUGCAUUCAAAACUGACUGACUAGAGUAUGGUAGAGGGUGGUGGAAUUUCCUGUGUAGCGGUGAAAUGCGUAGAUAUAGGAAGGAACACCAGUGGCGAAAGCGACCACCUGGACUAAUACUGACACUGAG